AAACGUAGGGUGCAAGCGUUGUCCGGAAUUACUGGGUGUAAAGGGUGCGUAGGCGGCUUUACAAGUCAGGCGUGAAAUAUAUGGGCUUAACCCAUAGACUGCGUUUGAAACUGUAGAGCUUGAGUGAAGUAGAGGUAGGCGGAAUUCCCGGUGUAGCGGUGAAAUGCGUAGAGAUCGGGAGGAACACCAGUGGCGAAGGCGGCCUACUGGGCUUUAACUGACGCUGAGGCACGAAAGCAUGGGUAACAAACAGGAUUAGAUACCCUGGUAGUCCAUGCCGUAAACGAUGAUUACUAGGUGUGGGGGGUCUGAACCCUUCCGUGCCGGAGUUAACACAAUAAGUAAUCCACCUGGGGAGUACGGCCGCAAGGUUGAA
This 376-nucleotide ribosomal RNA is filed under the name uncultured bacterium. Its description in RNAcentral is "bacterial SSU rRNA". It matches the Rfam family "Bacterial small subunit ribosomal RNA", at positions 523 to 898 of the family's 1533-position model. The record is from RNAcentral.